Molecule: ribosomal RNA, 448 nt
Filed under: uncultured bacterium
Lineage: Bacteria
Description: bacterial SSU rRNA
Rfam family: Bacterial small subunit ribosomal RNA
Source: RNAcentral
GAGCGGAUGACGGGAGCUUGCUCCCGAAUUCAGCGGCGGACGGGUGAGUAAUGCCUAGGAAUCUGCCUGGUAGUGGGGGACAACGUUUCGAAAGGAACGCUAAUACCGCAUACGUCCUACGGGAGAAAGUGGGGGAUCUUCGGACCUCACGCUAUCAGAUGAGCCUAGGUCGGAUUAGCUAGUUGGUGAGGUAAUGGCUCACCAAGGCGACGAUCCGUAACUGGUCUGAGAGGAUGAUCAGUCACACUGGAACUGAGACACGGUCCAGACUCCUACGGGAGGCAGCAGUGGGGAAUAUUGGACAAUGGGCGAAAGCCUGAUCCAGCCAUGCCGCGUGUGUGAAGAAGGUCUUCGGAUUGUAAAGCACUUUAAGUUGGGAGGAAGGGUUGUAGAUUAAUACUCUGCAAUUUUGACGUUACCGACAGAAUAAGCACCGGCUAACUCUGUG